Vicia faba (fava bean) is the source of this 237-nucleotide non-coding RNA. Lineage: Eukaryota; Viridiplantae; Streptophyta; Magnoliopsida; Fabales; Fabaceae. The record is from the annotation of a GenBank genome assembly.
AUGUUUGGAGUUGACAAAGCUAUAACCCAUUACAUCCUGACCAAUCUUCUUUGCAACAAUCUGAACUCUCGCGUACGCAAUCUCCGAACUCUAAUUUAUACUUUUUCCCUUUCAACUCAGAAUGUUGACAUUGAUUUGUCAAUACUGUUAUUCUCGAUCUUUGUAAAAUUAACAAGGCAUAAGAAGCAUUCGGUUUAUGCUAUGAAUUGGUGGAGAAGGGUUUACAUCAAGAAUUGA